Molecule: ribosomal RNA, 428 nt
Filed under: Bacteroidota bacterium
Lineage: Bacteria; Pseudomonadati; Bacteroidota
Description: Bacteroidetes bacterium partial 16S ribosomal RNA
Rfam family: Bacterial small subunit ribosomal RNA
Source: RNAcentral
UAGGGAAUCUUCCGCAAUGGACGCAAGUCUGACGGAGCAACGCCGCGUGAGUGAAGAAGGAUUUCGGUUCGUAAAACUCUGUUGUUAGAGAAGAACAGCGCAUAGAGUAACUGUUAUGCGUGUGACGGUAUCUAACCAGAAAGCCACGGCUAACUACGUGCCAGCAGCCGCGGUAAUACGUAGGUCCCGAGCGUUGUCCGGAUUUAUUGGGCGUAAAGCGAGCGCAGGCGGUUAGAAAAGUCUGAAGUGAAAGGCAGUGGCUCAACCAUUGUAGGCUUUGGAAACUGUUUAACUUGAGUGCAGAAGGGGAGAGUGGAAUUCCAUGUGUAGCGGUGAAAUGCGUAGAUAUAUGGAGGAACACCGGUGGCGAAAGCGGCUCUCUGGUCUGUAACUGACGCUGAGGCUCGAAAGCGUGGGUAGCAAACAGG